GGAGAGAUGGCUGAGUGGUCGAAAGCACCGGUCUUGAAAACCGGCAGUCGUUUGUAGCGGCUCUAGGGUUCAAAUCCCUAUCUCUCCACCA
RNAcentral lists this transfer RNA (91 nucleotides) under Vibrio sp. Its description in RNAcentral is "tRNA-Ser". It matches the Rfam family "tRNA". From Rfam's summary of the family: Transfer RNA (tRNA) molecules are approximately 80 nucleotides in length. Their secondary structure includes four short double-helical elements and three loops (D, anti-codon, and T loops). Further hydrogen bonds mediate the characteristic L-shaped molecular structure. tRNAs have two regions of fundamental functional importance: the anti-codon, which is responsible for specific mRNA codon recognition, and the 3' end, to which the tRNAs corresponding amino acid is attached (by aminoacyl-tRNA synthetases). tRNAs cope with the degeneracy of the genetic code in two manners: having more than one tRNA (with a specific anti-codon) for a particular amino acid; and 'wobble' base-pairing, i.e. permitting non-standard base-pairing at the 3rd anti-codon position. Lineage: Bacteria; Pseudomonadati; Pseudomonadota; Gammaproteobacteria; Vibrionales; Vibrionaceae. RNAcentral also lists the same sequence under 3 other names. The record is from RNAcentral.